CAGACUUGAAAAGGUCGUGCACGCGGGAGCGUGUCCUCUCACAUAACACAAUCCAUCGUCACCCCUUUGUGCACCACCGCGUGGGCCCCCUUCGGGGGGCUCGCGUUUUCACACAAAACCCCCCUUUUAAAAGUGUAGAAUGACCUCUUUUUAUGAAAUCAAUACAACUUUCAACAACGGAUCUCUUGGCUCUCGCAUCGAUGAAGAACGCAGCGAAAUGCGAUACGUAAUGUGAAUUGCAGAAUUCAGUGAAUCAUCGAAUCUUUGAACGCACCUUGCGCCCCUUGGUAUUCCGAUGGGCACACCCGUUUGAGUGUCGUGAAAACCUCAACCUCCCUGGUUUCUUCUGGAGACCAAAGGAGGCUUGGACUUUGGAGGCCUUUGCUGGCGUCUCUGCCAGCUCCUCUCAAAUGAAUUAGUGGGGUCCUCUUUGCUGAUCCUUGACAUGUGAUAAGAUGCUUCCGUGUCUCGGUUUCUGGCUCUGUUGCUUUUGGGACCCGCUUCUAACCGUCUAGACCUCGCGUCGAG
This 528-nucleotide unclassified non-coding RNA is filed under the name fungal sp. NI-01M. RNAcentral describes it as "partial contains 18S rRNA, ITS1, 5.8S rRNA, ITS2 and 28S RNA". The stretch from base 166 to 319 matches the Rfam family "5.8S ribosomal RNA". Lineage: Eukaryota; Fungi. The record is from RNAcentral.